UUACUGUGACUAAGGUAUUGUUUUAAAUUUAUUGCUGUGGGGUUUUAGUUAGGAUCCGAUUUGUUUCAAAUGGCGCUCAGAAAGCAACUGUUAAGAAUUAAGAAGUUGUUUAAAACUUAUAGAAAUGUAUUAUGUGUAGCUGUUAUUUUAUGUAAAUUUUGUUUGACAUAAAUUAAAUUUGAAGUGUGUUUCUAUUUUGAAGUGUGUUUAAGCUUUAUAUUAAAUUCUAACAUAAGUCUUCACUAACAUUUAUUGCAUGAGUUCGAAGCCGAUUAGAUUAAAUCCGAAUACGGUAUGACCUUAAAAUUAUGUAUAUAUUAUUGUUUCAGACUUACUUUUUGUUAUGAAGGUUACAUUGUUUACACUUACAGUAGUGUUGCAGUAGUGUUACAGUGGUUGUACAGAUUGUAGUAUCAGUGCUAUGGUAUACAUUGUACAAUGUACAACAGUUGAAAGUUAUUAUGAGAGUUUAAUGUUUAAGUGUUAGUUUACGAAAGGUCUUGUGAUGUUUUAGACAGUGUUUUUGCCCUUGUAUCUGAUUUAUUUUGUAACUUAUAGAUAAA
Bolinopsis microptera is the source of this 563-nucleotide long non-coding RNA. RefSeq lists it as uncharacterized. The record is from RefSeq and is a predicted model, not a curated record. Lineage: Eukaryota; Metazoa; Ctenophora; Tentaculata; Lobata; Bolinopsidae. The transcript has 2 exons.